Molecule: ribosomal RNA, 552 nt
Filed under: uncultured Acidovorax sp.
Lineage: Bacteria; Pseudomonadati; Pseudomonadota; Betaproteobacteria; Burkholderiales; Comamonadaceae
Description: bacterial SSU rRNA
Rfam family: Bacterial small subunit ribosomal RNA
Source: RNAcentral
UUAAUUCGAUGCAACGCGAAAAACCUUACCCACCUUUGACAUGUACGGAAUCCUUUAGAGAUAGAGGAGUGCUCGAAAGAGAGCCGUAACACAGGUGCUGCAUGGCUGUCGUCAGCUCGUGUCGUGAGAUGUUGGGUUAAGUCCCGCAACGAGGGGAACCAUUAAAAAAUAGUUGCUACGAAAGGGCACUCUAAUGGGACUGCCGGUGACAAACCGGAGGAAGGUGGGGAUGACGUCAAGUCCUCAUGGCCCUUAUAGGUGGGGCUACACACGUCAUACAAUGGCUGGUACAGAGGGUUGCCAACCCGCGAGGGGGAGCUAAUCCCAUAAAGCCAGUCGUAGUCCGGAUCGCAGUCUGCAACUCGACUGCGUGAAGUCGGAAUCGCUAGUAAUCGCGGAUCAGAAUGUCGCGGUGAAUACGUUCCCGGGUCUUGUACACACCGCCCGUCACACCAUAGGAGCGGGUUCUGCCAGAAGUAGGUAGCCUAACCGUAAGGAGGGCGCUUACCACGGCAGGGUUCGUGACUGGGGUGAAGUCGUAACAAGGUAACC